AUAAAAUCCUGACUCCUGUAGUGCGUGUGUAGGGUGACUGUAUGACUGAUACUCAAACUGGGAUGGCUGUUAAUACAUAUGUAAGGAAAACAGAUGCAAGGAGGACUCUCCCAGGAAAACCAAGAUGUAUCCAUGAGACCCUGCUAGAUCUGGCUGCGGCCCCAACUGUCCCUGUCCUCAUCUGCCCACUUUGCUCCAGCUACCUCAUUAAAAUGUAGCAGGGAUCCCGCCCGCUU
Molecule: long non-coding RNA, 236 nt
Filed under: Pan troglodytes (chimpanzee)
Lineage: Eukaryota; Metazoa; Chordata; Mammalia; Primates; Hominidae
Description: long non-coding RNA NONPTRT004023
Source: RNAcentral